AGAAAUUAUUAAUUUCCAUUGUUGUUAUUUAUUUUAUAAGAAUAUAAUUUUUAUUUUUAUUUUAGGAAAAAUUUAAAAUUUCUCGUGUGAUUUCGCACUUUCUUAUUUUCGUACUCUAUGGUUUAAAGUGUACGAAGUUAAUACUCUAUGAUUUCGCACUUUUUCACUUUAGUACCAUGUGGUUUCAAAUGUACCAAGUUAGUACCUUGUGGUUUUAUUUGUGUAUCAAAUUAGUACAUUGUGGUUUCAAUUUUAUCUUUUUAUUAUCCAUUUUGGGGUAUCUAAUUUAACAAAAUAUUAAACCACAAGGUACUAAAAUGAGAAAGUGCGAAGCAAUAGGGUGCUAACUUGAUACACUUUAAACCACAUGGUAUUAAAGUGAAAAAGUGCGAAACUACAGGAGGAAUAUUUGAAAUUUUCCCUUUAUUUUAUUAAAGAAUAAUUAAAUUUAUUUAUUAGUUCAAUCUAACUUUGAAUUUGGGAUUGACUCGUUCCAAAAUAAACUAUUCAAAAUUCUUUCACAUAAACACCUCCCUCUCAUUACUUCAUCAUCACUCUCCUCUCUCAUCAUUAAAACCCUCUCUUAAAAUUCUAAAUUUUUAUUUCAAUAACUAAUCAAAUAUUUUUGAAUAAUUCGUUAUUUCAUUUCUCAUUUCUAUUCGAAUCAUGGACCAAACAUGCCCUUAGAGCUUAUUUGGUUCAUCUAUUUUAAAAUAUAAAAUCAAAUAAAAUUUAUUGAUUCUGAUAGUAAUUAUUUGAUUUAUAGAAAUCAAAUUCUAAUUUUCAUUAUAAUUUGGAAUUAAAAUAACCCUAUCCAUUUAUGGCUCAAUCCGACUUUUAAUUCCACAUUAACUCGUUCCAAAAUAAAUAACUCAAAGCUCUCUCUCAUAAACAACUCCCCCGUUUCUUUUUUUUUUCGCUCUUCUUUUUCUUAACCAAAACUUUUUCUUAAAAGUUUAGAUGUUCAUUUCAAUUUUUAUUCUAAUAAUGAACCAAAUAUUUUUGAAUAAUUUAUCAUUCUAUUUUUCAUUCUAAUACCAUCCAGUUCUAUUUGUCAAUAUAUUCCAAUUAUAAGCCAAAUAUACCCUAAUUUUUUCAUUAGAUAGAAAUUAUUCACUACUUUUCUUCCAUAAAUUAUCAUUA
Molecule: long non-coding RNA, 1143 nt
Filed under: Ananas comosus (pineapple)
Lineage: Eukaryota; Viridiplantae; Streptophyta; Magnoliopsida; Poales; Bromeliaceae
Description: long non-coding RNA (ACOM_LNC032219)
Source: RNAcentral